UACGGAGGGGGCUAGCGUUGUUCGGAAUUACUGGGCGUAAAGCGCACGUAGGCGGCUUUGUAAGUUAGAGGUGAAAGCCCAGGGCUUAACCCUGGAAUUGCCUUUAAGACUGCAUCGCUAGAAUCGUGGAGAGGUGAGUGGAAUUCCGAGUGUAGAGGUGAAAUUCGUAGAUAUUCGGAAGAACACCAGUGGCGAAGGCGGCCCGCUGGACAUGUAUUGACGCUGAGGUGCGAAAGCGUGGGGAGCAAACAGG
RNAcentral lists this ribosomal RNA (253 nucleotides) under uncultured bacterium. RNAcentral describes it as "partial 16S ribosomal RNA". It matches the Rfam family "Bacterial small subunit ribosomal RNA", at positions 524 to 776 of the family's 1533-position model. The record is from RNAcentral.